AUGGGUUUAUAACAAAUGUAGAUGUAAUAUAUAUGACAAUAAUAGCACUAAGGAGAAGGGGUAAAUGGAAUUUGCUCUUGUGAGUUUUCUAUAUUUCAUCUGGACUAAUUCAAUAUAACUAGGUAGACUGGGAUUAGCUAAGGAUCCACUUUGUAAACACUAGAAAAAGUAAAAAAUAAUGAAAAAUGUAGCUACAAAGUCAACAGAGAAAUUAAAAUGGAAUAUGAAAAAAUAUUUGAUUAACAUAAAAGGAAGAAAAUGAGGAACAAAAAACCAAAAAAAUUUGGUAAGACAAAUAGAUAAUAAACAGCAAAAUGGCAGAGCUUUAAAUACAAUCAUAUCAAUAAGUAUAUCAAAUGCAAAUAAACUAAACUCUCCAAUCACAAAGCAGAAACUGUUAGAGUGGAUAAAAAGUAAGCACCAACUACAUGAUGUCUACAUGAGAUGCACUUCUAAUACAAAUAGAAUAAAAAUUUUACAGAUGGAGGAAGGUAUACCAUGCAAACAAUAACCACAAGAGAGGAGUUGUUGUAUUAGUAUUAGACAAAAUAGACCUCAAGAAAAUGAGUUAUUACUAGAGACAAAAGGAAAUACUUCAUAAAGCAUCAAUAUAUAAGGAAGAUAUGACAAUUAUGAAUGUGUAUGUAAGCCACAAUGGAUGGUGACUUCACAGUGAAAACUCUUUAUUUUAGGGAAGAAGGAAUAUGAAUGUUGGGUAGACAACUAGGCUUUUCUGCCACAGGCAGAUUAUUUAUCCUCUCUGUAAAAUAGAUAACAUUUUAUAGGAUUGUUGUGAGGAUUAAAUGACUGCCCACAGUAGGCACUUAAUCAUAUGGGUUAUUGUUGAUGCUGUUACUAUUAUCUUGUGGUAGACUGCAUCUAUGAGCAAAAGCUCAGCUAAAAUUAAGUUGUCCCUCUAUAUAGGGAAAAGAAUCCCUGAAGAAGGGGUGAAGUAAGUAGAAUGUCCACCCAAACGUCAUUUUGGGAUCAGAGUGGGCCCUGACUCCAGGAGAAGAAAAAAGUAUUAUAGAGAGUUGGUGGGGUGGAUGGCCCUUGCUUGGUAUGGGGACGGGGGUGCUAAAGGGAAUUUGGAUCUGGGAAGAAACUAGACAGAAGACUUGCAUAAUGAAAAUAUUGUUUACUGUGUGUAAUGAAAUGUUGCCUUCUCCUCCAUCUGUCAUAAAAAAAAAUUCAGCAAAAUCCAUAUUGCUCACCAAACUGGUUAGGAUAAAGUUCAGGAGACAGUAACAGAAACUCUAAUGAACAGUCAUAUACAAGACAGAUGCUUCUUUCUCUCUUGUAUAAGAGAAAUCAAGAGACAGCUCAGGGCUGAUAUGGUGGCUCUACAGUAAUCAAAGGGCUGAGGUCCUUCCAGUUUUCUGCUCUGUUAUGCUUUAGGUGUGGCUCUUGUCCCCUUGAUCCAAUAUGAAUUUUGGAGCAUCAGUCACCACAUCUACAUUUCGAGCAGCAAGAUGGGAGAGAGGAAAGAAUAGGUACACACUCCUUCCUUUUCAAAAAGAUUUUUCCAGAAAUACCACACAAUAUUUCCACUUAAAGGUGAGCUGUAGGCUAGGAAAUGUAGUCUUUUAGCUGAAAAACAAUAUAUCCAAAUAAAAAUCUGGGUUCUCUUAUUGAAGAAGGUGAGAAUGGAUGUGAGAAAACCAAGCACUCAUCAAUACUUAUAGAUUUUAUUUAUAAAUGUGUUAUUUGCAUAUUUUUAUGUGUAGACAAAAGAUGUGCAUAAUAGAUCGGUCUAUUGAAUGCAAGGUGAAAGACUGUCAAUGUGAGUCAGUUUAACAAGAGUUACAUCAUAAAAAAAGCUUCCCUCCUUUCUUAUUACAUUAUUAUUACAGUUAUAAACUAACAUUUAAUUAUUCCACGUAAGUUUGCAUCUUACUCUUAGGUCUUCAAUUAGACUUUGCUUCAAGGAAGGUUUGGCAGGCCUACAGCUCUAGUAUUGGCCAGAGGGUGCAGAAGGAACAGACUGUGUAAAUACAUUACUAUAGUACAACAACAAAUUUUUUAUAUAUUAGUGAAUUAGAUCCUUAACUAUGGCCCCCUCACCCAGCCUAAUGUUACCAAGGUCUGUAGUUUUGAACCCCUUUGAUCUUAUUCCUCAUGGGCUGCCUCAAUUACCGAACUUGGGCAUUUGUCAAGUACAAGGAAGCAUUAAAGAGCUGCAUCUAUUCACUUACAUGCUUAUUUGGUGUACAUAUCCCUUGCACUGCUUGUUUGGUACUUUAGUAGUAAACUAAAUGAUAGUAGACUUGAACUGACAGAGUCAACAUUCGCAUCAAUCUUUCUGCCUGGAUUGGACUUUAUAAGCUGGCCCAUAUCAAAAGGAUAUUACUAUGCCAUAUAUAUAUAUAUCUCCAAUAGUUUUCCUAUGCUCUCUUUCCCAUUGCGUAUUUCUACCUUUAGGCCAGACCAACCCAAACAUCUAUGACCAGUCAAAAAAGAAAAGCUGAUGGUAUUUCAUCUCUGGUCAAUGCCUCUCUUCAAAGCCAUUUCCUGGUAUAAUCCAUCCUUUAAUUCAUCAAAUAUACAUUCAGUAUUGACUAUGUACCAGGCACUGUGCCUAGUAUUAGGAAUAUAGCAAAGAACAGAUACUUAAAGUUCUUCUCAGAAAUGCCUUACCUGCUGGGCAUGGUGGCUCACACCUGUAAUCCCUUCACUUUAGGAGGAUGAGGUGGGAGGAUCACUUGAGUCCAGAAGUUUGAGACCAGCCUGGGCAACAUAGAAAGACCCUAUCUCUACAAAAAUGAAAAAAUUAGUUGGGCAUGGUGGCUUGCACCUGUAGUCCCAGUUUUUCAGGAGGCUGAGGUGGGACGAUUUCUUGAGGCUGGGAGGUGGAGGCACUACUGCACUCCGGCCCAGGUGACAGCACAAGACCUUGUUUUUUUGUUGUUGUUUGUUUUUAAAAAAAAGCCUUUCCUGAUAGUAGUUACCUCAACCACUGAGUAUUCUCUCUCUCUGCCUCAUUCUAUUCGUAACAUCUUUUAGAAAUCUGUCAUUUAAUUUAUUUUUAGCCUUACCACAGUUCCAUAUGGGCAGGGAAAUUCUGUACUUUUCACCAUCAUAUCUCCAGUGCCUUGCACAGUGUGAUACAUAAACACUUAAAUAUUUGAUUCAUUAACAUAAUAGACCCUCAACACAUACAUCUGAUGUUUCUAAUUGGAGCUCAGAAUUUAGAAUAAAGAAAUUUCCCCAAAAAAAGCCUUGAGAAAAAUUUAAUAAUUGAAUCAUUAAAUUAGUAAAUCAAACCACCAUUUUCCAUGAUUCUAAUAACUAGUAUAUAUUUUAUACAAAAUAAGUCAAUUGUUUUCUCCAGCAUUAUUGAGGUAUAAUUGACAAAUAAAAAAUGAAUAUAUUUAAGGUAUACAAGGUGAUAUUUUGAUACAUGUAUAUUGUGAAAUGAUUACUGCAAUCAAGUUAAUUAGCAUAUCCAUUACCUCACAUAGUUACCUGUUGUGUGUGUAUGUGGUGAGAACAUUUAAGAUCCGUCUUAGCAAAUUUCACAUAUAUAAUAGUGUCUUAUUAACUGUAGUCACCAUGUUGGACAUUAAAUCUCCAAAACUUAUUCAUCCUGCAUAAGUGAAACUCUGUACCCUUCACCAACAUCUUCCCAUUCCUCCUACCUCCUAGCUCCUGGCAAACACCAUUUUACUUUCUGCCUCUAGUUCUACCUUUUUAGAUUUCACAUGUACGCGAGAUCACACAGUAUUUGUCUUUGUGUGCCUGACUCAUUUCACUUAGUAAAAUGUCCUCCAAGCUCAUCCAUGUUGUCCCAAAAGACAAGAUUUCCUUUUUUUUGAGACGGAGUCUUGCUCUGUCGCCGAGG
RNAcentral lists this long non-coding RNA (3841 nucleotides) under Homo sapiens (human). Its description in RNAcentral is "HSALNT0191192". The record is from RNAcentral. Lineage: Eukaryota; Metazoa; Chordata; Mammalia; Primates; Hominidae.